CGAAAAUUAAUUUAUUCAACAUGGCGGUCUCAUUAAAAAGUCACCGUAUAUAAAUGACUUUUCAGCAAUAUUGCUGUGCAGCACAAAAAAUCACAGUGAAUCUUGACCUGUCCUCUUGGCGAUGGUAAAUGAUCAGAUACCUGUGUUGUUGCAGGCAGACCUGUAGGGAUUGAAGCAGCGAUGUAUCUUGUCACAAGCAUUUGCAGUCGGACAUCCUUGUAACUCAAAAGUAACAAAGCAUACUGAUCAGAAAUAUUCAGAAAGUGGAAAAGACAAGAAAGAGUACAUGAUACUUGUGGCUCAAAUCUGGCCUUUACAAGUAUAGUUUCCUAUUGAGAACUGGAAGGAUCAAGUUACAGCCCCUCCAAAUCCACACAAACACCUUGGAACCUCCAACUCAAUUGUACGAACCACACCCAUAACCAAAUAUAUGAAUGGGGAAUUUUUGAGUGUCAAGUCAGCUUGAAAAUGUCAGGGCGUCAUGUGGAGAACAUCACACAAAGUAUAGAACAUAUUGAGUAUAUUUAGAGAUGGGUGUGUUUCCUGACCAACAAAGGAAAUUUGAUCCAGUAAACCCACCUACUAAUGUGGAGUAAGUACUUCUGAUCUUGACUCUUUUGUAUGAACAAGGUCAGCAAAAGUACUAGCGAGAUUUAGUCUUCAGAGUUUUGUUUUGUUUAUAUAGAUAUAUAAAAUCACCUGAAGAGCCCCAAGAUGGGCGAAAGCGC
Molecule: long non-coding RNA, 728 nt
Filed under: Mizuhopecten yessoensis (Yesso scallop)
Lineage: Eukaryota; Metazoa; Mollusca; Bivalvia; Pectinida; Pectinidae
Description: uncharacterized LOC110446885, transcript variant X2
Source: RNAcentral